CUGGACGUGUAGAGCUCGAUCACCGAGCCUAGAUUCAAUUUGAAGAAACAGCUAUGAGUGUUGCAUCAAAGACCACCAAGUCUUGUGAACGGCGAUUUUGCGUUUGAUUGAGCUGAUAGACGAUGGCUGCAGUGUUGAGUCUUGAUGUUGUCCGUGAUGCUGAUCUUCAAUAGCGGGUCUGGUGAGCCAACAUACUGUAAGGUUGGUGCC
This is a long non-coding RNA of Nilaparvata lugens (brown planthopper), 210 nucleotides long. RefSeq lists it as uncharacterized. The transcript is spliced from 2 exons. The record is from RefSeq and is a predicted model, not a curated record. Lineage: Eukaryota; Metazoa; Arthropoda; Insecta; Hemiptera; Delphacidae.